This 253-nucleotide ribosomal RNA is filed under the name uncultured bacterium. RNAcentral describes it as "partial 16S ribosomal RNA". It matches the Rfam family "Bacterial small subunit ribosomal RNA", at positions 524 to 776 of the family's 1533-position model. The record is from RNAcentral.
UACGUAGGGGGCGAGCGUUGUCCGGAAUCAUUGGGCGUAAAGCGCGUGUAGGCGGCCCGGUAAGUCCGCUGUGAAAGUCCAGGGCUCAACCCUGGGAUGCCGGUGGAUACUGUCGGGCUCGAGUCCGGAAGAGGCGAGUGGAAUUCCUGGUGUAGCGGUGAAAUGCGCAGAUAUCAGGAGGAACACCAAUGGCGAAGGCAGCUCGCUGGGACGUGACUGACGCUGAGACGCGAAAGUGUGGGGAGCAAACAGG